GACGAACGCUGGCGGCGUGCUUAACACAUGCAAGUCGAACGCUGAAGCUUGGUGCUUGCACGGGGUGGGUGAGGGGCGAACGGGUGAGUAAUACGUGAGUAACCUGCCCUUGACUCUGGGAUAAGCCGGGGAAACGGGGUCUAAUACGGGAUACGACAUUGCACCGCAUGGUGGUGUGGGGAAAGGGGUUUGGUGGUUAUGGAUUGGCUCACGGCCUAUCAGCUUGUUGGUGGGGUAAUGGCCUACCAAGGCGACGACGGGUAGCCGGCCUGAGAGGGUGACCGGCCACACUGGGACUGAGACACGGCCCAGACUCCUACGGGAGGCAGCAGUGGGGAAUAUUGCACAAUGGGCGGAAGCCUGAUGCAGCGACGCCGCGUGCGGGAUGACGGCCUUCGGGUUGUAAACCUCUUUCAGCAGGGAAGAAGCGAGAGUGACGGUACGUGCAGAAGAAGCGCCGGCUAACUACGUG
RNAcentral lists this ribosomal RNA (472 nucleotides) under uncultured bacterium. Its description in RNAcentral is "partial 16S ribosomal RNA". It matches the Rfam family "Bacterial small subunit ribosomal RNA", at positions 28 to 507 of the family's 1533-position model. The record is from RNAcentral.